CAAAGAUACGUACAAUAAAAUAUCACGUUUCUCUGUACUUUUUCCAAAUCCGCAGAUCAUGCAGAUAAAUGAACACCAGGACGCUUUUACUGGAUUUAAAGCCUGUUAAAAACAAGCUUUUUAAAUGCAGGAUACAGCACGGUUCCAGGUAAACUACAUUACCCACAACGCAUCUCUUCGUGUAACAUGCGCCGUCACUACACAGCUAAAGGAAGAAGAGUACAGCCUCAAGACUAAACGCUGUGAUCAGUACUCUGGACUGAGGGAUUUUAGCUAA
This 277-nucleotide long non-coding RNA is filed under the name Sinocyclocheilus anshuiensis. RNAcentral describes it as "lncRNA (ENSSANG00000034630.1)". Lineage: Eukaryota; Metazoa; Chordata; Actinopteri; Cypriniformes; Cyprinidae. The record is from RNAcentral.